Long non-coding RNA from Eucalyptus grandis, 1016 nucleotides. RefSeq lists it as uncharacterized. Lineage: Eukaryota; Viridiplantae; Streptophyta; Magnoliopsida; Myrtales; Myrtaceae. The record is from RefSeq and is a predicted model, not a curated record. The transcript is spliced from 3 exons.
CUAAAAUAUAUUUUAUUAAGAACCCAAAGCAACCGAGAAUGUAGAUCCUUGCUCUGAGAUGGAGAACUCUCAAAUCCUUCGUCGGGGCUCUCGCCGGAAGCUCCAUUAUCCUUCGUUUCGAGGUUCGCCGGAGGGGAAUCGUCGCCGCCGAUUCAAGUGUCCUGACGUCUCCGUGCACCAGUUUCUCCGGCGGUUUGAUGUUGGCUCGCGGUUCCAUGGUCGCUACGCACCUUCCGUCGUCGUCGUCGUCGUCGCUGCUCUUCCUAAUCGCCCGCGACUCUAUUCGGUCCUUCGAUUGCUAUUCCACUGGGAGUAACGAUGACUCCGGCGGCUUUAUCUCCGAUCCUCCGUCCAUCAACUGAGAGCCACACCUGCCAGAGGGACCAAUGAGCUUGAGGGCGUUCCGUGGAGAUGAAGCCGGGGCGUUGGAACGUGAACCAUAGCAACGGCCGUCUCAUGAUUGCCGUGCGUGUCAUCACCUCAUCACCGCCAGGUUGUUUCUUUUCCAAUUAAAGUGAUUCGACUUCUUGGGCUCUUUGUCUAUAUCGCAUGUGGAGGAGGGACUUAUUUUGGCCGUACAAAAGAAGAAGAAGGGGCUCUCAUAUUCAAUAUAUACUUGUGGGUUCAGUAGAUUUGUCAGAGGAAGAAACAUGCAAAGGCGUGGGUUCUAAUUUUCUCAUCCCCUUCAGCCGCGUAAAAAGGUGGAGUUGUCCUUCUAGCUACGCGGAGAGGAAGAGGAACUCACGGUGAUCGUUUUUUGCGCGAAGAGUUUACAUCCUCCCUUCUCUUUCCGGAGAUGCGGGUGUUUCAAACCGUAAUUCUUCUAAAGGCUAAACACUGUGCUUUAGGUGGAAUGAGAAGCGCUUGAAAAUGUGAGCUGUCGUACUUUAUAAUCCUUCGAUUAUCCUUCGAUUGAUUAGUGGAUAAUUUGCAACCGAUCUCCCUCUAAAGUAGAUACUGACACUGGGACUUCAUGCAUUUCUUAUUGUUCCUUGUUGAUUUAUCUGGUUAUUUCA